This 3140-nucleotide unclassified non-coding RNA is filed under the name Hevea brasiliensis (rubber tree). Lineage: Eukaryota; Viridiplantae; Streptophyta; Magnoliopsida; Malpighiales; Euphorbiaceae. The record is from RNAcentral.
GUAGACGAUUCCCACCAACCUUAAACCCUAGCGCCACUUGACCAGCUUAGCAAAACCCUUGCUCGCUAUCUCUUCCGGUCUUCCCUUCCCCUCUAUCUUUCAAGUAAAUUCUGCUGCUUCUUCGAUAGCUAUUAAGAAUUAGCCCUAUAUCUACACACAGAUUCUCAUAAUUAUCAAUUUAAAUUAGACUGCUCUUUAUGGCUUCGGUGCAAAUGAAGAAGAAUUACCGAUGCGUUCCGUCGCUGCAGCAGUUCUACAGCGGGGGGCCGUUCGUGGUGGCGUCGGACUGCUCCUUUAUUGCUUGCGCUUGUGGUGAAGCCGUCAAGAUUGUGGAUUCAGCGAAUGCGUCGAUAAGGGCGACUAUCGAAGGUGACACCGAGGCCAUCACUGCGUUGGCACUUAGCCCUGAUGAUAAAUUGCUGUUUUCUGCGGGUCACAGUAGGCAAAUUAGAGUCUGGGACUUGUCCACUAUGAAGAGCGUGCGCUCUUGGAAGGGCCAUGAUGGUCCUGUGAUGGGCAUAGCUUGCCAUGGAUCUGGAGGCUUGCUGGCAACUGCAGGAGCCGAUAGAAAAGUCCUGGUUUGGGAUGUUGAUGGUGGCUUCUGCACACAUUACUUCAAAGGCCAUAAAGGGGUUGUUACAAGUAUUGUAUUCCAUCCUGAUACAAAUAAAAUGCUUCUUUUCUCUGGAAGUGAUGAUGCAACUGUACGAGUUUGGGAUCUUGUAGCCAAGAAGUGUAUAGCAACAUUAGAAAGACAUUUUUCAGCAGUGACCUCUUUGGCAGUAUCUGAAGAUGGAUGGACAUUACUUAGUGCUGGAAGAGAUAAGGUUGUGAACUUGUGGGACCUUCAUGGCUAUGUCUGCAAGAUGACAAUUCCAACUUAUGAGGUGUUGGAAGCUCUCUGUGUAAUUCCUUCGGGGACUCAAUUUUCUUCAUUUCUGAGUUCAUACAGUCAGCAGAUUGGAAAAGACAGAAAUGGAUCAUCAGCAAUUUAUUUUGUCACUGUUGGUGAACGUGGGAUUGUACGGAUAUGGAACUCUGAACGUGCGAUUUGCCUUUAUGAACAAAAGUCCUCAGAUGUUGCUGUCACCUCAGAUGCUGAUGAAUCAAAAAGAGGCUUCAUUGCUGCUACUAUGCUUCCUUUAGAUCAAGGAUUGCUUUGUGUGACUGCAGAUCAGCAGUUUCUGUACUACAUACCAGUUGAACACCCUGAAGAGAAGUUCAAGUUAGUACUGAGCAAGAGGCUUAUUGGGUACAAUGAAGAGAUUUUGGAUAUGAAAUUUUUGGGUGAGGAGGAAAAAUUUCUUGCUGUUGCUACAAAUCUUGAACAGAUUCGAGUGUAUGACCUGGAAUCUAUGUCAUGCGCUUAUGUAUUGACAGGUCAUACUGAAAUUGUUUUGAGCCUUGACACCUGUAUAUCAAGAUCUGGGAGGACACUUAUAGUUACAGGAAGUAAGGACAAUACUGUAAGGUUAUGGGAUUCAGAAAGCAGAAACUGCAUUGGUAUUGGCACAGGUCACAUGGGAGGUGUUGGAGCUGUCGCACUUUCAAAGAAGUGGAAGAAUUUCUUUGUUACUGGCAGCAGUGAUCGAACCAUCAAGGUAUGGAAUUUGGAUGGUAUCUCAGAUGACAUGGACCAGCCUGUUAAUUUGAAAGCAAAAGCAGUUGUUGCAGCUCAUGAUAAGGACAUAAACUCUCUGGCUGUUGCGCCGAAUGAUAGUUUAGUGUGUAGUGGUUCUCAGGACCGGACCGCAUGUGUCUGGAGGCUUCCAGAUCUAGUAUCUGUUGUUGUACUUAAAGGGCAUAAAAGAGGAAUUUGGUCCGUAGAGUUCUCACCAGUUGAUCAAUGUGUGAUUACAGCUUCUGGUGAUAAAACAAUAAAGAUAUGGGCUAUAGCUGAUGGAUCUUGCUUAAAAACCUUUGAAGGGCACACAUCAAGUGUAUUGAGAGCAUCAUUUCUUACUCGUGGCACCCAAUUGGUUUCAUGUGGUGCUGAUGGUUUGGUAAAGCUAUGGACAGUAAAAACGAAUGAGUGCAUUGCCACAUAUGAUCAACAUGAGGACAAGGCUUGGGCCUUGGCAAUUGGGAAAAAGACAGAAAUGUUUGCAACCGGUGGCAGUGAUGCGGUUGUUAAUCUGUGGUAUGACUCAACUGCUGCGGAUAAAGAGGAAGCUUUUCGUAAAGAGGAGGAAGGAGUUUUAAAAGGCCAAGAAUUAGAAAAUGCUGUGUUAGAUGCUGACUACACUAAAGCUAUUCAAAUAGCAUUUGAACUCCGCAGACCUCAUAAACUUUUUGAGUUAUUUGCUGAACUAUGCGGGAAGAGGGGAGUUGACUAUCAGAUGGAGAAAGCCUUACGUGCUAUUGGUAAGGAAGAAUUUCGUCUACUUUUCGAGUAUGUUCGCGAAUGGAAUACAAAGCCGAAGCUGUGUCAUGUUGCACAAUAUGUGCUCUUUCAAGUUUUCAACAUCCUUCCUCCGACACAGAUUCUAGAGAUUGGAGGGAUCGAGGAGCUUCUUGAAGGUCUUAUACCAUACUCCCAGAGGCAUUUCAGCAGGAUAGACCGACUAGUUAGAAGCACAUUUUUGGUGGACUAUACUUUGACAGGAAUGUCAGUUAUUGAGCCUAAUAUUCAAGCUGCAGAACCAAAGGAGUCGUCCCAUAUACCCACUAAUGUUAAGGAUGAUGACAUCGUUCUUUUAUCAGAUCAAGCUGAGAAAGAACAACAGCAGACUCCUGAAGUGUUGAAAGAGAGAACAAGUUCAAAGAAACGGAAAUCAAAGCAAGCCAACAAACCUAGUGAUAGAUCACAUAAGAAAGUUAAGGGUGCAGCUUCCACAAGCGCAGCAGCAAUUCCAUUACAGGCAUAGAACAGUUCAUUCCUGUAGUGUACCUUUUGAUUAUUUCUUAGAACUGGGCUAUUAAUUUUAUUGGAGAGGAUGCAAUUUUGACCAUGUAAAUUGUAGAAAAUAUCUUCCAAUUUUCCCUCCAAAGAACUCUCCGGUAUUCUCUGAAUGGCUCCAUUUAUUUAAUUUUUUUUUAUCACUUUGUAUCUGAACAUUGUAUGCUAAAUUUUGUUUGUAUGAGACAGAUUUAGCAACUUUUAUUCUUUGGUCGAUAAUGGACAUAAAUUUCAUUUUCUA